RNAcentral lists this ribosomal RNA (439 nucleotides) under uncultured bacterium. Its description in RNAcentral is "partial 16S ribosomal RNA". It matches the Rfam family "Bacterial small subunit ribosomal RNA", at positions 339 to 795 of the family's 1533-position model. The record is from RNAcentral.
CUACGGGGCGCAGCAGUGGGGAAUAUUGCACAAUGGAGGAAACUCUGAUGCAGCAACGCCGCGUGGAGGAUGACACUUUUCGGAGCGUAAACUCCUUUUAUAUAGGAAGAAGAUGACGGUACUAUAUGAAUAAGCGCCGGCUAACUCCGUGCGAGCAGCCGCGGUAAUACGGAGGGCGCAAGCGUUACUCGGAAUCACUGGGCGUAAAGAGCGUGUAGGCGGAUUAAAAAGUCAGAAGUGAAAUCCUAUAGCUUAACUAUAGAACUGCUUCUGAAACUCUUAAUCUAGAAUAUGGGAGAGGUAGAUGGAAUUUCUGGUGUAGGGGUAAAAUCCGUAGAGAUCAGAAGGAAUACCGAUUGCGAAGGCGGUCUACUAGAACAUUAUUGACGCUGAGACGCGAAAGCGUGGGGAGCAAACAGGAUUAGAUACCCCCGUAGUC